AUUGAACGCUGGCGGCAGGCCUAACACAUGCAAGUCGAGCGAGCGGCGGGCGGGUGAGUAAUGUAUGGGGACUGCCCGAUAGCGGGGGAUAACUACUGGAAACGGUAGCUAAUCCCGCAUACUAUCGGAUAACCCAUAUGGGAUUAGCUAGUUGGUGAGGUAAUGGCUCACAAAGGCGACGAUCCCUAGCUGGUCUGAGCGGAUGAUCAGCCACACUGGGACUGAGACACGGCCCAGACUCCUACGGAGGCAGCAGUGGGGAAUAUUGCACAAUGGGCGCAAGCCUGAUGCAGCCAUGCCGCGUGGAUGAAGAAGGCCCUAGGGUUGUAAAGUACUUUCAGUCGGGAGGCGGUACCGAAAGAAGAAGCACCGGCUAACUCCGUGCCAGCAGCCGCGGUAAUAC
RNAcentral lists this ribosomal RNA (403 nucleotides) under uncultured bacterium. RNAcentral describes it as "partial 16S ribosomal RNA". It matches the Rfam family "Bacterial small subunit ribosomal RNA", at positions 30 to 526 of the family's 1533-position model. The record is from RNAcentral.